This 253-nucleotide ribosomal RNA is filed under the name uncultured bacterium. RNAcentral describes it as "partial 16S ribosomal RNA". It matches the Rfam family "Bacterial small subunit ribosomal RNA", at positions 524 to 776 of the family's 1533-position model. The record is from RNAcentral.
UACGGAGGGUGCGAGCGUUAAUCGGAAUUACUGGGCGUAAAGCGCAUGCAGGUGGUUUGUUAAGUCAGAUGUGAAAGCCCGGGGCUCAACCUCGGAAUAGCAUUUGAAACUGGCAGACUAGAGUACUGUAGAGGGGGGUAGAAUUUCAGGUGUAGCGGUGAAAUGCGUAGAGAUCUGAAGGAAUACCGGUGUCGAAGACGGCCCCCUGGACAGAUACUGACACUCAGAUGCGAAAGCGUGGGGAGCAAACAGG